This 30-nucleotide transfer RNA is filed under the name Spiranthes praecox. Its description in RNAcentral is "partial tRNA-Gly". RNAcentral also lists the same sequence under 3 other names. Lineage: Eukaryota; Viridiplantae; Streptophyta; Magnoliopsida; Asparagales; Orchidaceae. The record is from RNAcentral.
GCGGAUAUGGUCAAAUGGUAAAAUUUCUCU